GAUGAACGCUGGCGGCGUGCUUAACACAUGCAAGUCGAACGAGAAACCUUUUAUUGAAGCUUCGGCAGAUUUAGCUGGUUUCUAGUGGCGGACGGGUGAGUAACGCGUGGGUAACCUGCCUUAUACAGGGGGAUAACAACCAGAAAUGGUUGCUAAUACCGCAUAAGCGCACAGGACCGCAUGGUCCGGUGUGAAAAACUCCGGUGGUAUAAGAUGGACCCGCGUUGGAUUAGCUAGUUGGCAGGGUAACGGCCUACCAAGGCGACGAUCCAUAGCCGGCCUGAGAGGGUGAACGGCCACAUUGGGACUGAGACACGGUCCAGACUCCUACGGGAGGCAGCAGUGGGGAAUAUUGCACAAUGGGGGAAACCCUGAUGCAGCGACGCCGCGUGAAGGAAGAAGUAUCUCGGUAUGUAAACUUCUAUCAGCAGGGAAGAUAGUGACGGUACCUGACUAAGAAGCCCCGGCUAACUACGUG
Molecule: ribosomal RNA, 478 nt
Filed under: uncultured bacterium
Lineage: Bacteria
Description: partial 16S ribosomal RNA
Rfam family: Bacterial small subunit ribosomal RNA
Source: RNAcentral